Long non-coding RNA from Perca fluviatilis (European perch), 580 nucleotides. RefSeq lists it as uncharacterized. The record is from RefSeq and is a predicted model, not a curated record. Lineage: Eukaryota; Metazoa; Chordata; Actinopteri; Perciformes; Percidae. The transcript has 3 exons.
GGGCUCGGCACAGAGUCACUAGAGGUCGCUAGAGAAGCUUGGCCUGACGUACCUGGGAGAAUCGUUGCGCAGCACCAGAGAGACAAGGUGGUGGCAAAGAUUCCUGUCAUGAUGCUGGGUACAUCAGCGUGAUCAAACGCUUUCUUAAAUCUGCGGUGACAUCAGUGUGUUUGACUUGGCGUGCCUCUCUCAUCUCAAUUCAUCACCUCCCCAAGGACAUCUCCUCCCGCUGCCAAGACCUGUCAGGCAGGAGCAUCUCAGAGUAAAGGGGUGAGAGGACACCAAUUAGAAAGCCAUCCUCGGCCAAGAGAGCCAGCGGCACAGCUUGCCACAGGAAGUGGGAUGUCUGACUUCCUGCAUGGGGUCACAGCUGUUUGCAGGGAGGUUACCGCUACCAGCCAAUACGCGGUACCAUUUAGCGUCUGACGAGGCAGGCCUCAUUUGAAUAGCAAAGAACCAUCUCAAUGUCACCAAUAAAUUUACAUGAUUUCUUCCCUGCUACAGCUGGGAUCAGAGUGGGGACUUUGCUGGAAUUAGGGGAGCGUGACAAUGUCAAAAGAGCAGGACCAGCUCCUUUCAA